CCCUUAGAUGUUCUGGGCGGCCCGCGCAUUACAUUGGCACUCUCAAUAAGUUCCUAGAUCUAAAACUUUGGGGUAUUCUAUUAAGUGGUGUCGUGACUGGGAUUAACCCUUGCAAUUAUUGGUUACGAACGAGGAAUUCCUUGUAAUCGCGGUUUAUCAGCCCGCGUUGAAUGCGUCCCUGCCCUUUGUACACACCGCCCGUCGCUCCUACCGAUGAAUCGUCCGGUGAAGUUCAUGGAGUGGUGGUUGUUCCAGCUGCUGUCGAAGUGAAAUGGACCUCACGAUUUAGAGGAAGGAGAAGUCGUAACA
This 309-nucleotide ribosomal RNA is filed under the name uncultured eukaryote. RNAcentral's name for it is "partial 18S ribosomal RNA". It matches the Rfam family "Eukaryotic small subunit ribosomal RNA", at positions 1470 to 1796 of the family's 1831-position model. The record is from RNAcentral.